CCAAGCUACAUGUUUAGAUUUUAAUUUUCUGUGGUAUGAGUGAAUAAAUUUCAACAUGGAAGAAGUAUAUUAUUAUGAGAGGAGUAUGUUAUUGAUUACUGUGUUAAUUAUGAUGAUGACAAGCAAAAAGGUUUUAGCCAACGAUCAUGUUGUGAGCUUGGUUUCACAGUAGUCAGAAGAGACAGAUUAAGUAUGCUAACACUUUUAGAGCUACUGCCUCAAGUCCCCAGAAUCAAAAAAAAAUCUUGUAUUUCUGAUAGAGUAGCUUUGAUGUGUUCAAAAAUGUAGUAAUACAAAGAAUAAAUAAAAACAACACUUCAAUAAAGAAAAUGAACUUAACUGCACCAAAUCAAAAAUAAGAUGAAUCAAAUAAGAGGGAUGAUUGUUAAAACAUCUUUCUAAGGAUAACUGUAUAUAUAAAGGAAAAUCAAAAUUAGUGUCUGCAUUAGAAGCUAUACAAAUAGCAGUAGCGAUACAACACUUCUCUCAAUUGUUCUUUUCCUUUACCAAGCAUAUUGACAUUUUUUGAAGAAUUAUGUUUGACUUUCAGGUCUAUCUUUCUCAUUAGGUGCUUGAUUGUGAUUCCUUUAAUUUCAAUUUUACGUUAUUGGCAAAGGAAAAACUUCGACUAAAAGUGAAAAACAAAUAAGUGGUGCUCGUAUCAAGGUUUGUGAUGGCAAAGUUGAUUAAGAUCAAUGCAUUAUCAUAGUCACUUUCACUAAGUAAAGAAUGCAACAAAGAUGUAUCCAUUGCAUUGAUUAGCACUUUGCCUAUGUUCUCUCUUUUCACUUUCAAUUCAUCCUAUUGGCAAAAUUUCAUAUUCUUGGAAUCUUGGUGGAUUUGGUUGUUCCUGUUUGUUUAUACAGUGAAACAAAGAAACCAGCAGCAAAGAAAAAGGAGAAAUCAACAGAGCCAAAGGCUAAAAGGGAAAAGAAACUCAAAUGCUCCAAAACGCACUCCUACUGCUUUGUUUGUGUUCAUGGAUGAGUUUAGGCAAACAUUCAAGGCUGCUAAUCCUUACUGCAAGAGGGUCUCCACGGUAGUGCUGAAUUCAGUUGUUCCUAAUAACAAUCUCCGCUUGCCCCUUUAUCCCUUUAGUUUUAUCUAAUAGCCACAAAGUUGCUACUUCUCCAUCCUUAUUAUGUAGCCUUACAAUAGUAUUCGUUUCUCCUAAUGGUAAGCUCAUGUAUGUUGCAACGUAUUUUUAACAAUA
This is a long non-coding RNA of Capsicum annuum, 1213 nucleotides long. RefSeq lists it as uncharacterized. The record is from RefSeq and is a predicted model, not a curated record. The transcript is spliced from 4 exons. NCBI's taxonomy places the organism in Eukaryota, Viridiplantae, Streptophyta, Magnoliopsida, Solanales, Solanaceae.